CCUACGGGGGGCAGCAGUGGGGAAUAUUGCACAAUGGGGGAAACCCUGAUGCAGCGACGCCGCGUGAAGGAAGAAGGAUUUCGGUAUGUAAACGUCUAUCAGCAGGGAAGAAAAAGACGGUACCUGACUAAGAAGCCCCGGCUAACUACGAGCCAGCAGCCGCGGUAAGACGGAGGGGGCAAGCGUUAUCCGGAUUUACUGGGUGGCAAGGGAGCGGAGGCGGUUUAGCAAGUCAGAAGUGAAAGCCCGGGGCUCAACUCCGGGACUGCUUUUGAAACUGUUGAACUAGAUUGCAGGAGAGGUAAGUGGAAUUCCUAGUGUAGCGGUGAAAUGCUUAGAUAUUAGGAGGAACCCCAGUGGCGAAGGCGGCUUACUGGACUGUACCUGACGCUGCGGCUCGAAAGCGUGGGGAGCAAACAGGAUUAGAUACCCCAGUAGUC
RNAcentral lists this ribosomal RNA (440 nucleotides) under uncultured bacterium. RNAcentral's name for it is "partial 16S ribosomal RNA". It matches the Rfam family "Bacterial small subunit ribosomal RNA", at positions 338 to 795 of the family's 1533-position model. The record is from RNAcentral.